RNAcentral lists this ribosomal RNA (584 nucleotides) under Chlamydia sp. 12-3998_AO053. RNAcentral's name for it is "bacterial LSU rRNA". It matches the Rfam family "Bacterial large subunit ribosomal RNA", at positions 1 to 587 of the family's 2925-position model. The record is from RNAcentral. Lineage: Bacteria; Pseudomonadati; Chlamydiota; Chlamydiia; Chlamydiales; Chlamydiaceae.
UACAGGCCAAGUUAUUAAGAGCUAUUGGUGGAUGCCUUGGCAUUGACAGGCGAUGAAGGAUGCGUUUACCUGCAGUAAUCCUCGGCGAGUUGGUAUAAACUAUGACCCGGGGGUAUCCGAAUGGGGAAACCCGAUAGAGAUAAUAUUCUAUCAUUAUACGCUGAACACAUAGGCGUAUAAGGCGACACCUGCUGAACUGAAACAUCUUAGUAAGCAGAGGAAAAGAAAUCAAAGAGAUUCCCUGUGUAGCGGCGAGCGAAAGGGGAAAAGCCUAAACCGUAUUUAAUACGGGGUUGUAGGGUCGAUAAUAUGGGAUCUUAAGUCUUAGCUGAAUAUUUCUGGAAAGUUAAGCGAUACAGGGUGAUAGCCCCGUAAGCGAAAAGACAAAAGACUCUAAUCGAUACCUGAGUAGAACCAGACACGUGAAACCUGGUUUGAAUCUGGGGAGACCACUCUCCAAGGCUAAAUACUAGUCGAUGACCUAUAGCGAACCAGUACUGUGAAGGAAAGGUGAAAAGAACCCUUGUUAAGGGAGUGAAAUAGAAUCUGAAACCAGUAGCUUAUAAGCGGUCGAAGGCCUAUAA